UAAGCGACUAAGCGUACACGGUGGAUGCCCUGGCAGUCAGAGGCGAUGAAGGACGUGCUAAUCUGCGAUAAGCGUCGGUAAGGUGAUAUGAACCGUUAUAACCGGCGAUUUCCGAAUGGGGAAACCCAGUGUGUUUCGACACACUAUCAUUAACUGAAUCCAUAGGUUAAUGAGGCGAACCGGGGGAACUGAAACAUCUAAGUACCCCGAGGAAAAGAAAUCAACCGAGAUUCCCCCAGUAGCGGCGAGCGAACGGGGAGGAGCCCAGAGCCUGAAUCAGUGUGUGUGUUAGUGGAAGCGUCUGGAAAGGCGCGCGAUACAGGGUGACAGCCCCGUACACAAAAAUGCACAUACUGUGAGCUCGAUGAGUAGGGCGGGACACGUGGUAUCCUGUCUGAAUAUGGGGGGACCAUCCUCCAAGGCUAAAUACUCCUGACUGACCGAUAGUGAACCAGUACCGUGAGGGAAAGGCGAAAAGAACCCCGGCGAGGGGAGUGAAAAAGAACCUGAAACCGUGUACGUACAAGCAGUGGGAGCACAGAGCAAUCUGUGUGACUGCGUACCUUUUGUAUAAUGGGUCAGCGACUUAUAUUCUGUAGCAAGGUUAACCGAAUAGGGGAGCCGAAGGGAAACCGAGUCUUAACCGGGCGUUAAGUUGCAGGGUAUAGACCCGAAACCCGGUGAUCUAGCCAUGGGCAGGUUGAAGGUUGGGUAACACUAACUGGAGGACCGAACCGACUAAUGUUGAAAAAUUAGCGGAUGACUUGUGGCUGGGGGUGAAAGGCCAAUCAAACCGGGAGAUAGCUGGUUCUCCCCGAAAGCUAUUUAGGUAGCGCCUCGUGAAUUCAUCUCCGGGGGUAGAGCACUGUUUCGGCAAGGGGGUCAUCCCGACUUACCAACCCGAUGCAAACUGCGAAUACCGGAGAAUGUUAUCACGGGAGACACACGGCGGGUGCUAACGUCCGUCGUGAAGAGGGAAACAACCCAGACCGCCAGCUAAGGUCCCAAAGUCAUGGUUAAGUGGGAAACGAUGUGGGAAGGCCCAGACAGCCAGGAUGUUGGCUUAGAAGCAGCCAUCAUUUAAAGAAAGCGUAAUAGCUCACUGGUCGAGUCGGCCUGCGCGGAAGAUGUAACGGGGCUAAACCAUGCACCGAAGCUGCGGCAGCGACACUGUGUGUUGUUGGGUAGGGGAGCGUUCUGUAAGCCUGUGAAGGUGUGCUGUGAGGCAUGCUGGAGGUAUCAGAAGUGCGAAUGCUGACAUAAGUAACGAUAAAGCGGGUGAAAAGCCCGCUCGCCGGAAGACCAAGGGUUCCUGUCCAACGUUAAUCGGGGCAGGGUGAGUCGACCCCUAAGGCGAGGCCGAAAGGCGUAGUCGAUGGGAAACAGGUUAAUAUUCCUGUACUUGGUGUUACUGCGAAGGGGGGACGGAGAAGGCUAUGUUGGCCGGGCGACGGUUGUCCCGGUUUAAGCGUGUAGGCUGGUUUUCCAGGCAAAUCCGGAAAAUCAAGGCUGAGGCGUGAUGACGAGGCACUACGGUGCUGAAGCAACAAAUGCCCUGCUUCCAGGAAAAGCCUCUAAGCAUCAGGUAACAUCAAAUCGUACCCCAAACCGACACAGGUGGUCAGGUAGAGAAUACCAAGGCGCUUGAGAGAACUCGGGUGAAGGAACUAGGCAAAAUGGUGCCGUAACUUCGGGAGAAGGCACGCUGAUAUGUAGGUGAAGUCCCUCGCGGAUGGAGCUGAAAUCAGUCGAAGAUACCAGCUGGCUGCAACUGUUUAUUAAAAACACAGCACUGUGCAAACACGAAAGUGGACGUAUACGGUGUGACGCCUGCCCGGUGCCGGAAGGUUAAUUGAUGGGGUCAGCGCAAGCGAAGCUCUUGAUCGAAGCCCCGGUAAACGGCGGCCGUAACUAUAACGGUCCUAAGGUAGCGAAAUUCCUUGUCGGGUAAGUUCCGACCUGCACGAAUGGCGUAAUGAUGGCCAGGCUGUCUCCACCCGAGACUCAGUGAAAUUGAACUCGCUGUGAAGAUGCAGUGUACCCGCGGCAAGACGGAAAGACCCCGUGAACCUUUACUAUAGCUUGACACUGAACAUUGAGCCUUGAUGUGUAGGAUAGGUGGGAGGCUUUGAAGUGUGGACGCCAGUCUGCAUGGAGCCGACCUUGAAAUACCACCCUUUAAUGUUUGAUGUUCUAACGUGGACCCGUGAUCCGGGUUGCGGACAGUGUCUGGUGGGUAGUUUGACUGGGGCGGUCUCCUCCUAAAGAGUAACGGAGGAGCACGAAGGUUGGCUAAUCCUGGUCGGACAUCAGGAGGUUAGUGCAAUGGCAUAAGCCAGCUUGACUGCGAGCGUGACGGCGCGAGCAGGUGCGAAAGCAGGUCAUAGUGAUCCGGUGGUUCUGAAUGGAAGGGCCAUCGCUCAACGGAUAAAAGGUACUCCGGGGAUAACAGGCUGAUACCGCCCAAGAGUUCAUAUCGACGGCGGUGUUUGGCACCUCGAUGUCGGCUCAUCACAUCCUGGGGCUGAAGUAGGUCCCAAGGGUAUGGCUGUUCGCCAUUUAAAGUGGUACGCGAGCUGGGUUUAGAACGUCGUGAGACAGUUCGGUCCCUAUCUGCCGUGGGCGCUGGAGAACUGAGGGGGGCUGCUCCUAGUACGAGAGGACCGGAGUGGACGCAUCACUGGUGUUCGGGUUGUCAUGCCAAUGGCACUGCCCGGUAGCUAAAUGCGGAAGAGAUAAGUGCUGAAAGCAUCUAAGCACGAAACUUGCCCCGAGAUGAGUUCUCCCUGACCCUUUAAGGGUCCUGAAGGAACGUUGAAGACGACGACGUUGAUAGGCCGGGUGUGUAAGCGCAGCGAUGCGUUGAGCUAACCGGUACUAAUGAACCGUGAGGCUUAACCU
RNAcentral lists this ribosomal RNA (2901 nucleotides) under Escherichia coli DEC4B. RNAcentral describes it as "bacterial LSU rRNA". It matches the Rfam family "Bacterial large subunit ribosomal RNA". Lineage: Bacteria; Pseudomonadati; Pseudomonadota; Gammaproteobacteria; Enterobacterales; Enterobacteriaceae. The record is from RNAcentral.